Molecule: long non-coding RNA, 829 nt
Filed under: Equus asinus (donkey)
Lineage: Eukaryota; Metazoa; Chordata; Mammalia; Perissodactyla; Equidae
Description: lncRNA (ENSEASG00005023838.1)
Source: RNAcentral
GGAAUUGGAGCAGGAUAAAUGAAUACCAGUGGAACAGAGUCCAAAGACAUACCCAUGCAGAGGUAGAGCCUUGCUGUAUGAUAAAGAUGGCACUACAGAGACAUGGUGGAAAGAAUUAUCUGUUUAAUAAAAGAAAAAUUCUCCGUUCCAAUGGAAAAGCCUCUCCCAGGGAUGCCAGGAAUCUGGGGUGGAUAGAUUGACACACAGCAUGUGAGGACAGCUGCCUUAGGAAUGGCAGAAUAGUGUUCCAUAGUGGAAAAUAGCCCAGCUGCUGAUAUUAACUGCUUGUGCAAGAAUGGCUGAAACGGUGGAAACGUGCCUCCUGAGGGUGUUCCGUGAUGAGAUGAGUGCACAGACUUGAACAAAGCUGGCAGUCUGAUGGGCUGCAAGAACUUCUUGAGAGUACAAGCAGGUCAUUGCUGUGGAGCUUUUCUGUCAUGUGAGAUCUGAGGAAAUUAACUUUCUAUUUUAGAAACCCUUCCCAGCUUUUGUGAUGAAAUCUCCUUUGACCACUAACUUCUCAAAUCCUGAAACUAAUGGAAAUUCCCUCCCACCCUACCCUACCCCCAACUCUAUUUGUCUGAGCAUCAGAGAAAAUUCUCCUGUCUUUCAUUGGUCACCCAUUUGUGUCUAUCUCUCCCAACCGAAAAAAUUCCCAUAGGCUGAUUAAAUAAGUCAAGGUUUACAUAACAACUUAGCUCUCCUAGUCCUUUCUCAGAUGCCUGAUUUAACCCAGACAAACCAAAAACGGAAACCCAAAGGUCACAUACCUGCUGCAUUUUUAUCCCAUUAAAGGAAAAGUCCCCUUUUGUGCUUUUCCCGUGCCAAG